UACGGAAGGCAGCAGUGGGGAAUAUUGCACAAUGGGCGCAAGCCUGAUGCAGCCAUGCCGCGUGUACGAAGAAGGCCUUCGGGUUGUAAAGUACUUUCAGUCGUGAGGAAGGUGUUAAGGUUAAUAACCUUAGCAAUUGACGUUAGCGACAGAAGAAGCACCGGCUAACUCCGUGCCAGCAGCCGCGGUAAUACGGAGGGUGCGAGCGUUAAUCGGAAUUACUGGGCGUAAAGGGCACGCAGGCGGUUAAUUAAGUUGGAUGUGAAAUCCCCGGGCUUAACCUGGGAAUGGCAUUCAAGACUGGUUAGCUAGAGUCUUGUAGAGGGGGUAGAAUUCCAUGUGUAGCGGUGAAAUGCGUAGAGAUGUGGAGGAAUACCGGUGGCGAAGGCGGCCCCUGGACAAAGACUGACGCUCAUGUGCGAAAGCGUGGGGAGCAAACAGGGAUUAGAUACC
This 453-nucleotide ribosomal RNA is filed under the name uncultured bacterium. RNAcentral's name for it is "bacterial SSU rRNA". It matches the Rfam family "Bacterial small subunit ribosomal RNA", at positions 340 to 786 of the family's 1533-position model. The record is from RNAcentral.